AGGAAUAUUGGUCAAUGGGCGAGAGCCUGAACCAGCCAAGUAGCGUGAAGGAUGAAGGCUCUAUGGGUCGUAAACUUCUUUUAUAUGGGAAUAAAGUUUUCCACGUGUGGAAUUUUGUAUGUACCAUAUGAAUAAGGAUCGGCUAACUCCGUGCCAGCAGCCGCGGUAAUACGGAGGAUCCGAGCGUUAUCCGGAUUUAUUGGGUUUAAAGGGAGCGUAGGUGGAUUGUUAAGUCAGUUGUGAAAGUUUGCGGCUCAACCGUAAAAUUGCAGUUGAUACUGGCGUCCUUGAGUGCGGUUGAGGUGUGCGGAAUUCGUGGUGUAGCGGUGAAAUGCUUAGAUAUCACGAAGAACUCCGAUUGCGAAGGCAGCACACUAAGCCGUAACUGACGUUCAUGCUCGAAAGUGUGGGUAUCAAACAGGAUUAGAUACCCUGGUAGUCCACACGGUAAACGAUGGAUACUCGCUGUUGGCGAUAUACUGUCAGCGGCUUAGCGAAAGCGUUAAGUAUCCCACCUGGGGAGUACGCCGGCAACGGUGAAACUCAAAGGAAUUGACGGGGGCCCGCACAAGCGGAGGAACAUGUGGUUUAAUUCGAUGAUACGCGAGGAACCUUACCCGGGCUUAAAUUGCAAAGGAAUAAUCUGGAAACAGAUUAGUCUUCGGACCUUUGUGAAGGUGCUGCAUGGUUGUCGUCAGCUCGUGCCGUGAGGUGUCGGCUUAAGUGCCAUAACGAGCGCAACCCUCGCCGCCAGUUACUAACAGUUAAAGCUGAGGACUCUGGCGGGACUGCCAUCGUAAGAUGUGAGGAAGGUGGGGAUGACGUCAAAUCAGCACGGCCCUUACGUCCGGGGCUACACACGUGUUACAAUGGGCGGUACAGAAGGCAGCUACCUGGCGACAGGAUGCCAAUCCCGAAAGCCGCUCUCAGUUCGGACUGGAGUCUGCAACCCGACUCCACGAAGCUGGAUUCGCUAGUAAUCGCGCAUCAGCCACGGCGCGGUGAAUACGUUCCCG
This 1016-nucleotide ribosomal RNA is filed under the name uncultured bacterium. Its description in RNAcentral is "bacterial SSU rRNA". It matches the Rfam family "Bacterial small subunit ribosomal RNA", at positions 357 to 1376 of the family's 1533-position model. The record is from RNAcentral.